GCGUCGGUAGUCUAGUGGUAUGAUUCUGGCUUGCCAAGCCAGUGGCCCGGGUUCAAUUCCCGGCCGACGCA
This 71-nucleotide transfer RNA is filed under the name archaeon. RNAcentral describes it as "tRNA-Gly". It matches the Rfam family "tRNA". From Rfam's summary of the family: Transfer RNA (tRNA) molecules are approximately 80 nucleotides in length. Their secondary structure includes four short double-helical elements and three loops (D, anti-codon, and T loops). The record is from RNAcentral. RNAcentral also lists the same sequence under 1 other name.